UACGUAGGGGGCUAGCGUUGUCCGGAAUCAUUGGGCGUAAAGAGCGCGUAGGCGGCCAGAUAAGUCCGGCGUGAAAGUCACAGGCUCAACCUGUGAAUGCCGCUGGAAACUGUCUGGCUAGAGUCCGGAAGGGGCGAGUGGAAUUCCUGGUGUAGCGGUGAAAUGCGCAGAUAUCUGGAGGAAUACCGGUGGCGAAGGCGGCAUCCUGGACCGACAUUGACGCUGAGGAGCGAAAGCUAGGGGAGCAAACGGG
This 253-nucleotide ribosomal RNA is filed under the name uncultured bacterium. Its description in RNAcentral is "partial 16S ribosomal RNA". It matches the Rfam family "Bacterial small subunit ribosomal RNA", at positions 524 to 776 of the family's 1533-position model. The record is from RNAcentral.